AUUGAACGCUGGCGGCAGGCCUAACACAUGCAAGUCGAGCGGAUGAAGGGAGCUUGCUCCUGGAUUCAGCGGCGGACGGGUGAGUAAUGCCUAGGAAUCUGCCUGGUAGUGUGGGAUAACGUCCUGAAACGGGCGCUAAUACCGCAUACGUCCUGAGGGAGAAAGUGGGGGAUCUUCGGACCUCACGCUAUCAGAUGAGCCUAGGUCGGAUUAGCUAGUUGGUGGGGUAAAGGCCUACCAAGGCAACGAUCCGUAACUGGUCUGAGAGGAUGAUCAGUAAAAGUGGAAGGGAGAAACGGUAAAGAGACCAAGGGGAGGAAGAAGAGGGGAAAAUUGGAAAAAGGGCGAAAGCGUGAAGAAGGAAAGCCGCGUGGGUGAAGAAGGUCUUCGGAUUGGAAAGCAGUGUAAGUGGGGAGGAAGGGAAGUAAGUUAAAACAUGGCUGAUUGGACGUAACCAACAGAAAAAGAACCGGGAAACAUCGU
This 483-nucleotide ribosomal RNA is filed under the name uncultured bacterium. RNAcentral's name for it is "partial 16S ribosomal RNA". It matches the Rfam family "Bacterial small subunit ribosomal RNA", at positions 29 to 506 of the family's 1533-position model. The record is from RNAcentral.